RNAcentral lists this ribosomal RNA (252 nucleotides) under uncultured bacterium. RNAcentral describes it as "partial 16S ribosomal RNA". It matches the Rfam family "Bacterial small subunit ribosomal RNA", at positions 524 to 776 of the family's 1533-position model. The record is from RNAcentral.
UACGGAGGAUGCGAGCGUUAUCCGGAUUUAUUGGGUUUAAAGGGUGCGUAGGCGGUCCGGAAAGUCAGCGGUAAAAGCCCGGGGCUCAACCCCGGCGAGCCGUUGAAACUGUCGGACUAGAGACGGCGAGAAGUACGCGGAAUGCGCGGUGUAGCGGUGAAAUGCAUAGAUAUCGCGCAGAACUCCGAUUGCGAAGGCAGCGCACCGGCGCCCUACUGACGCUCAGGCACGAAAGCGUGGGUAUCGAACAGG